RNAcentral lists this ribosomal RNA (433 nucleotides) under uncultured bacterium. RNAcentral describes it as "partial 16S ribosomal RNA". It matches the Rfam family "Bacterial small subunit ribosomal RNA", at positions 29 to 507 of the family's 1533-position model. The record is from RNAcentral.
AACGAACGCUGGCGGCAUGCCUAACACAUGCAAGUCGAACGAGACCUUCGGGUCUAGUGGCGCACGGGUGCGUAACGCGUGGGAACCUGCCCUUAGGUUCGGAAUAACUCCCCGAAAGGGGUGCUAAUACCGGAUAAUCUCUUCGGACCAAAGAUUUAUCGCCUUUGGAUGGGCCCGCGUUGGAUUAGCUAGUUGGUAGGGUAAAAGCCUACCAAGGCGACGAUCCAUAGCUGGUCUGAGAGGAUGAUCAGCCACACUGGGACUGAGACACGGCCCAGACUCCUACGGGAGGCAGCAGUGGGGAAUAUUGGACAAUGGGCGAAAGCCUGAUCCAGCAAUGCCGCGUGAGUGAUGAAGGCCUUAGGGUUGUAAAGCUCUUUUACCCGGGAUGAUAAUGACAGUACCGGGAGAAUAAGCUCCGGCUAACUCCGUG